GCUAGGCGGGGUGGUGUAUGCCUGUAAUCCCAGGGGCUUGGGAGGCUGAAGCAGGAGAUUCAGGAGUUGAAAUCCAGCCUCAG
Molecule: small RNA, 83 nt
Filed under: Marmota monax (woodchuck)
Lineage: Eukaryota; Metazoa; Chordata; Mammalia; Rodentia; Sciuridae
Source: RNAcentral